Panthera uncia (snow leopard) is the source of this 18099-nucleotide long non-coding RNA. RefSeq lists it as uncharacterized. Lineage: Eukaryota; Metazoa; Chordata; Mammalia; Carnivora; Felidae. The transcript is spliced from 2 exons. The record is from RefSeq and is a predicted model, not a curated record.
UCAGCUUGUAUUUGGCUUUAUGAAGAUGUUGAACUCCUUUAUGAAGAUGAGUGAACAUGUUGGACUUAUUUUUUUAUAUAGUAAGACAUUUAGUAAUAACUUUGUAGCUAAAAGGGAAAAUCAUUUGAUUUGUAUAUGUAAAAAUCACAGUUUCUGUAUUAAUACAUAGUGGCUGACAUGAAAGAAUCACUUUAAGAGUUGGAAGAUAAAGUAUAUGGAAUGAAUAUAUAAUUUUAAUUCAGUUUAUAUAGCUCACGUGUUCUGCUUUGUUUUCCGUGAGGAUCUAGAGAUAUCAACUGAACUAUUCUAAAACUCCUCUAGAUACCCCUGGGAAACACUUCAUUUGAUUUAAAGGAAUAAUGAGACAUUCUUAAAAGGGAGUUUUGUAAUUUCCUGUAUGGCUACUCUACAAAGUGUAGUGUUUUGAAUUCAUUGGGGGAUGUUAUAGAUUACCUAUAAUUGAAAAAUGAUUUGUUGGAGAGACAGCCAAAGUCUUUAUGCCCUCAUGAAGCUUAUUUUAAGACCUGCAUUUUUGUUCCAUCUGGAUUUGUUUCUGAAGUGGUCUAGAAAGGGCAUAUAUACAGUUGACCCUUGAACAAAAUGGAUUUGAACUGCAUGGGUCCACUUUUAUGUGGGCUGUAUAAGUACUGUUAAUGCAUUUUCUCUUCCUUAUGACAUUCUUAAUAACGUUUUCUUUUCUCUAGCUUACUUUAUUGUAAGAAUACAGUAUAUAAUACGUAUAACAUACAGAGUAUGUGUUAAUUGACUAUGUUAUUGUUAAGGCUUCUGGUUAACAGUAGACUACUAGUAGUUUUGGGGGAGUCAGAAGUUUUAUGAGGAUUUGACUGCAUGGGGUGGGUGGCAUCGGUGCCCCUAACCCUGUGUUGUUCAAAGGUCAACUGUAUAAAACCCCAUUGUUCAUUAUUUGCAUUUUUGUAGUUUAUAAAAAUACUCAGUUACUAGAUGAUAACCACUAUGAAAAUAAAACUGAAAUUUCUAAUAUUUUCAUAACCUCAGUAUUUUAUACCCUUAGUAUUUCAUAACCUCAGUGUUUUCACAGUAUUCAGUCAUAUGCAGAGAAAUUAAACAUUAGACUUAAUUGUAUUAAAAUCUAAUCAGCAGCUGUCUCCUGGUCUCAGUAAAACUGGAUGUCCUUUUAUGUUUAUUUAAUUUUCCUUACUACUUGAGAAGGUGCUUGAGAACAGGCUGAAGGAUAGGUUGUGGGAUGUGAUGGCAGCUGAGUCCCCAGCCUCGUUCUUAUACAUAGCAAGUGUUGUGAGAAAUUUGUUGAAUGGAUGGAUGAAUGAUAAAACAUAAGAAUGAGUUUCCUUCUUUUUAACAAAUGCCUAAAUCUAUUAUGUAGAAUUGUUUUUCAAUCAUAACAUUAGAGUAGCCUUUUAGGAAUAACACAAUUUAGAAGAAAGCUUUAGCAAAAAUUAAUCCUUACUGGGCAUUGGAUAUAUCCUUCUGGAAAAGUGAGUUCUUUGAAUUUUGGGUAUGUCUUCAGUUAAUGUCUUUUCUGUGAUCAAUAUUAAAACCUCACAGAGGGUGGCUGAGUGGUUCUGUCAGUUGAACAUCCGACUCUUGAUUUCAGCUCAGGUCAUGAUUCCAGGGUUGUGGGAUUGAGCCCUGUGUCAGUUUCCACACUGAGCAUGGAGCCUGCUUAAGAUAUUGUCUCUCUCCCUCCCCUUCCCUCUCCUUCUCCCUUCCCUCUCCCCCUCUCUCCUCUCUCUCUUCUUUCCUCUCCUCUCCCUCCUCCCAUCCCUUUCUCCCUCCCGCCCCCCUCCCUCUGCCCUCCCCUGCAUUUGCUCUCUCUCUAAAAAACAAACAAACAAAAAAAAACCCUCCCAAACCUCACAGAAACAAAAGGGGGACUUUCCACUUUUAUUUAUUUUUUAAAAUUUAUUUAUUUAACUUCAAGUAAGUUAACAUACAGUGUAGUAUUGAUUUCAGGAGUAGAACCCACUUACAUAUGACACCCAGUGCUCAUCCUAACAAGUGCUCUCCUUAAUGCCCGUCAUCCUUUUAGCCCAUCCCCCUAUGCACCUCCCCUCCAGCAGACCUCAGUUUGUUCUCUGUAGUUAAUAGUCUUAUGGUUUGCCUCCCUCUCUGUUUUUAUCUUAUUUUUCCUUCCCUAUGUUCAUCUGUUGUGUUUCUUAAAUUCCAUGAGUGAAAUCAUAUAUUUGUCUUUCUCUGACUUAUUUUGCAUAGCAUAACACCCUCUAGUUCUAUCUACAUUGUUGCAAAUGGCAAGAUUUCAUUUCUUUUUGAUGACUGAAUAAUAUUCCAUUGCAUACACACACACACACACACACACACACACACACACACACCCCACACCCCACCUCUUCUUUAUCCAUUCAUCAGUCAGUAGCCAUUUGGGAUCUUUCCAUAAUUUAGCUAUUUUUGAUAGUGCUGCUAUAAACAUUGGGGUGCAUGUGCCCCUUUGAAUCAGCAUUUUUGUAUCUUUUGGAUAAAUACCUAGCAGUCAAAUGCUGGGUAAUAGGGUAGUUCUAUGUUUAAUUUUUUGAGGAGUCUCCAUUCUGUUUUCCAGAGUGGCUGCGUUCCCACCAAGAGUGUAAGAGGGUUCCCCUUUCUCUCUUGCCAACGUCUCUUGUUUCCUGAGUUGUUAAUUUUAGCCACUCUGACUGGUGUGAGGUGGUAUCUCAGUGCGGUUUUGAUUUGUAUUUCCCUGAUGAUGAGUGAUGUUGAACAUUUGUAACUUCCUGAUGAGUGAUGUUGAACAUCUUUUCAUGUGUCUGUUAGCCAUCUCGAUGUGUCUGUUCCUGUCUUCUGCCCAUUACUUCACUGGAUUAUUUGUUUUUGGGUGUUGAGUUUGAUAAGUUCUUCAUAGUUUUUGGAUACUAACCCUUUAUCUGAUAUGUCAUUUGCAAAUAUCUUUUCCCAUUCUGUUGGUUGCCUUUUAGUUUUGUUGACUGUUUCCUUUGCAGUGCAGAAGAAGCUUUUUAUCCUCAUGAGGUCCCAGUAGUUCAUUUUUGCUUUUGUUUCCCUUGCCUCUGGAGACAUGUCAAGUAAGAGGUUACUGUGGCCAAGGUCAAAGAGGUUGCUGCCUGUGUUCUCCUAUAGGAUUUUGAUGGUUUUCUGACUCACAUUUAGGUCUUCCAUCCGUUUUGAAUAUAUUUUUGUGUAUGUUAUAGGAAAGUGGUCCAGGUUCCUUCUUCUGCAUGUCGCUGUCCAGUUUUCCCAGCACCAUUUGAAGAGACUAUCUUUUCCAUUCCAUAUUCUUUCCUGCUUUGUGGAAGAUGAAUUGGCCAUACAUUUGUGGGUCCAUAUCAUAUCUACGUUCUCCAUUCUGUUCCAAUGAUCUUUGCGUCUGUUUUUGUGCCAGUACCAUACAGUCUUGAUGAUUACUGCUUUGUAAUACAGCUUGAAGUCCAGGAUUGUGAUGCUUCCAGCUUUGCUUUUCUUUUUCAACAUUACUUUGGUUAUUCAGGGUCUUUUCUGGUUCCAUACAAAUUUUAGGGUCUUUUCUGGUUCCAUACAAAUUUUAGGAUUAUUUGUUCUAGCUCUAUGAAGAAUGCUAUUAUUUUUGAUGGGGAUUUCAUUGCACGUGUAGAUUGCUUUGUAGUGUCGACAUUUUAACAAUAUUUGUUCUUCAAUCCGUGAGCAUGGAAUGUUUUUCCAUUUCUUUGUGUCUUCUUCAGUUUCUUUCAUAAGCUUUCUAUAGUGUAUAGAACUUACUUUUUUGGUUAUUAGGUUUAUUCCUAGGUAUCUUAAGGUUUUUGGGGCAAUCGUAAGUGGGAUUGUUUUCUUAAUUUCUCUUUCUGCAACCAGUUUCAUUAUGUUGAUUUUAUAUUCUGUGACUUUGUUGAAUUCAUAUAUCAAUUCUAGCAGUUUUUUGGUGGAGUCUUUUGGGUUUUCCACGUAGAGUAUCAUGUCAUCUGUGAAGAGUGAAAGUUUGACUUCUUCCUUCCUUCCUUGUAUGCCUUUUAUUUCUUUUUGUUGUCUGAUUGCUGAGGCUAGGACUUCCAAUACUAAGUUGAACCACAGUGGUGAGAGUGGAAAUCCCUGUUCCUGACCUUAGUGACAAAGCUCUCAGUUUUUCCCCAUUGAGGAUGUUACAGCUGUGAGUCUUUCAUAUAUGGCAUUUAUAAUGCUGAGGUAUGUUCCUUCUACUCCCAACUUUCUUGAGAGUUUUUAUCAAGAGAGAAUGCUGUAUUUUGUCAAAUGCUUUUUCUGCAUCUAUUGAGAGGAUCCUAUAGUUCUUUUUUUUUUUUAAUGUUUAUUCAUCUUUGAGAGACAGAGAGAGACAGAGCAUGAGGGGGGAAGGGGCAGAGAGGGAGACACAGAAUCGGAAGCAGGCUCCAGGCUCCGAGCUGUCAGCACAGAGUCCAACGCAGGGCUUAAACUCACGAACUGCGAGAUCAUGACCUGAGACAAAGUCGGACCCUCAACCAACUGAGCCACCCAGGUGACCCUGAGAGGAUCAUAUAGUUCUUAUCCUUUCUUGUGUUAAUGUGGUGUAUUGCAUUGAUUGAUUUGAGAACACUAAGCCAGCCCUGCAGCCCAGCAAUAAAUCCCAUUUGAUCAUGGUGAAUAGUGCAGUUGAGUGUCUCUUAGUUUCGGCUCAGGUCAUGAUCUCAUGGUCCUUGGGUUCGAGCCCCGUGUCGAGCUCUGCACUGACAGCGUGGAGCCUGGUUGGGAUUCUCUCUUUCUGCCCCUCCCCAACUCACGUGUGCAUGCUCUCUCUCUCUCUCUCUAAAUAAAUAAAUAAACUUAAAAAAUAAAAUAAAAAGAGAAUACUAUUUAAGAAAAUGAAUGUCUGGUAGAAUUCCCCUGGGAGGCCAUCUGGCCCAGGACUCUGGGAGAUUUGUUUGUUGGGAGAUUUUUGAUAACUGAUUCAGUUUCUUUGCUGGUUAUGGGUAUGUUCAAAUUUUCUGUCUCUUACUGUUUCAGUUUUGGUAGUGCAUGAGUUUCUAGGAAUUUGUCCAUUUCUUCCAGAUUGCCUCGUGUGUUGGCAUAUAAUUUUUCAUGGUAUUCUCGUACAGAUGUUUGUAUUUCUGUAGUGUUUGUUGUGAUCUCUUUCAUUCAUGAUUUUAUCUAUUUGGGUCCUCUCUCUUUUCUUUUUUAUAAGCCUGGCUAGGGGCUUAUCAAUUUUGUUUAUUCUUUCAAAGAACCAGCCAGCAUUGCCACUUUUUGAUUGUUUUCUGACGGUCAUACUUCUGCUAGUGCAUUCUUAAAAUUGCCGUUGCUAUUAUUAUUACAGGAUACUUCCAUGACAGUGUGCAACUGAAUUGAAUGAUUUUUUAUUUUUAAUUGAAAUUUGUAUUGAGAUAAUUGUAGAUUCCCAUACAGUUGUAAUUAAUAAUACAGAGAGAUCCUGUAUACCCUUUACCCAAUACCUACUGUCACCCAAUGAUAACAUCUUGUAAAACUAUAGUACGAUAUUACAACAAAGAUAUUGACAUUGAUACAAUCUGUCUAUUCAGAUUUCCUCAGUUUUAGUAGUAGUGUUCAUUUGUUUUUGUUUUUUUUAAUGUUUGUGUAUUUAUUUUGCAAGAGACAGUGAUCGGGGGAGGGGCAGAGAGAGAGGGAGACAGAGAAUUCCAAGCAGGCUCCUCACUGUCAGUGCAGAGCCAGAUGUGGGGCUCCAUCCCACGAAUUGUGAGAUUAUGACCUGAGCCAAAACCAAGAAUCAGAUGCUCAAUGGACUGAGCCACCCAGGCCUCGUGUCCGUGUCUGCGUGUGUGUUUAAUUUGAUACACGUUUUAUUUACACCACAGUUAACAUACUGAGCAUUUCUGUUGCCACAAGGAUCCUUCCUGUUGCCCAUUUAUAAGCACACCCACUUCCCUCACAUACUGUUUUGGCCCCUCAUCCACUUUCGGCAACCACUAAUUUGUUACUCAUUUCUUUAAUUUUGACAUUUCAAACAUUAUACAUGGACAAACGUUAUAUAACCUUUUGGCAUUGACUUUUUUUUACUCCAUAUAAUUCCCUGGAGAUUCAUUCAGAUUGUUGCAUAUAUCACUUAGUUCCUUUUAAUUGCUAAGUAGUCCAUGGUAUGUGUGUGACACUCAUUCAUCAAUUAAUGGACAUUUGGGUUGUUUCCACUUUUUCACUAUUAUGAAUAAAACUGGUAUGAACUUUUUUUUUUAAUGCUACAGAUAUUCUUGUCUAGGUUUUAGUGUGAACAGAAGUUUUCAUUUUCCUGGGAUAAAUGCCUAGAAGUGCAAUUUCUGGGUUGUGUCAUAAUUGCCUGUUUAGUUUUAUAAGGAACCACCAAACUGCUUUUCAGAGUGACUGUGCCAUUUUAUGUUCCUCUGCAUCUUUGCCAGUAUGUGGUUUUGUCACUGCUUUUUUCUUUUUAAAAUUUAUUUAUUUUGAGAGAGCACAUGGGUGUGCCUGCUAGCAGGGGAGGGGCAGAGAGAGAGAGGGAGGGAGAGGGAGAGAGAAUCCCAAGCAGGCUCCACACAGUGAGCACAGAGGCUGGGAGCUUGGUCACAUGAACCAUGAAAUCAUGACCUGAGCCAAGAUCAAGAGUCGGAUGCUUAACUGACUGAGCCACCCAGGUGCCCCUCUUUAUGUAUUUUCAAUACUUUAUCACAUGUGUGGUCGGCAAAUAUGUUCUCCCAGUCCAUAGCUUGUCUUUUACUAUUCACAGGGUGUUUCAGAGAGAAGAUGUUUUUAAUUUUGAUGAUAUUCAAUUUAUCCAUUUUGCUUUUUCUUCUGCAUACACUGUUUUUGGUGUCCUGUUGAAGAACUAUUCUCCAAGCCUUACAUUCCGAACGUUUUCUCCUAUGUUAUUUUUUUUUUUAAAGUUUUAUGGUCUUAUGUUUUACAUUUAAGUCUGUGUUCUAUUUUGACUUAAUGUUUGUGUAAUGUGUGAAGUUUAGGUUGAGGUUGAUUUGUUUUGCCUUUGGAUAUGCCAUUGUUCCAGCACCAUAUUUUGAAAAGGCUUUCUGUCCUUCACUGAAGUGUUUUCACACCUUUAAAAAUAAGACGUUUGCUGUACUUGGGUGGGUGUAUUUCUGGGUUCUCUCUUCUGUUUUCUGUGUGUCUAUCCCUCUGCCAUUCCUGUACUCUGUUGGUGUUUUAGCUCUAUAAGGAGUCUUACUAGGGAGUGGAAUGAUUCCUUCUCACUUUAUUCUUCUCUGUCAGUAUCGUUUUAGGUAUUCCCUGGCCUUUACCCUUUUAUGUAAAUUUAGAAUAAAUUUCUCUAUGUCUACAAAAAGCCUUGCUGAUAUUUUGAUAGGAAAGGAAUCGCAAUAAGCCUAAAAGUCAGUUUGGGGAGAAAUGAAAUACUUAUUAUGUUGAGUCGUCCAAUCCAUGAACAUAAUAUGCCUCCCCAUUUGUUUAGGUCUUUGAUUUCUUUUAUCAGUGUUUUGUAACUUGCAAUGUACAGAUCCUGUACAUAUUUUGUUAAAUGUAUAUACCCGAGUUCUUUUUUGGGUGUGGGAAGGAUGAUUUAAAAUGGUACUGUGUUUUUUUGUUUUUUUAAAAUGUUUUUUACAUUUAUUUAUUUUUGAGAGAGAGAGACAGUGUGAGCAGGGGAGGGGCAGAGAGAGAGAGUGAGACACAGAAUCAGAAGGAGGCUCCAGGCUCUGAGCUGUCAGCACAGAGCCCGAUGCAGGGCUCUACCCCACAAACCGUGAGAUCAUGACCUGAGCUGAAGUCGGACGCUCAACCGACUGAGCCACCCAGGUGCCCCUGGUACUGUGUUUUUAAUUUCAUUUUUCACAUUGAAUAAUCUUUGUGAUUUUUUUUUUUCUUCAGGAAAGUGUUCACAUAUUUAAAUUUGUAGAAGAAAUUAAAAAAAAAUUUUUUUUAAUGUUUAUUUACUUAUUUAGAGAGAGAGAGUGAGCAGGGAGGGGCAGAGAGAGAGGGAGAGAGAGAAUCCCAAGCAAGCUCCACACUGUCAGCGUGGAGCCUGACGCAGGGCUCGAACCCACGAACCAUGCGAUCCUGACCUGAGCCAAGAUCAAGAGUCAGACACUUAACCAACAGAGCCACCUCAGUUCCCCAUGGGAAUACAGAUGGGAGGCCAAGUUAAAUCUUAACACUGCAAAAGCUAUGUUUAAUAUGUAAUAACAAUUUUGUUGUGUGUAAUAAUAAUUAGAUUGGAUUGGGUUUAGAGAAAGAUACAAGUACAGAAUUUAUUAUUUUACAGUUAUUUUAUGUUUCACUUGGAAUAAAUUGGAAAUACCUGGACUUAAGAUUCAGAUUAAUAAUUAGAAAAUCUGACAUGUAUAUCUUUUGUCUGAACAGUAAUUACAGUGUCCCAAGGGUGUAGGUGUUAGAGCAUCAUGAAAUGAGAAUAUUGAGAAGAACUUAUCAGUUAACAUAUGUAUAUAAAUGAUUAAAUUUUAAGCACUUGGAACCUUGCUUCUACUGGGAAAAUGAUAAAAGAAUGUUAUCAGAUGGACAACACAAGAUAUAAACCCAAACCCAGUGUCUACAGUGUCCAGUCUUUCUAAAUGUAAAGAUGAACAUUAGAACUAUUCACAGGACCACUAUCUCUUAUGUUUAGCAAAAAUAGAUAACAUACAGCCCAACCCUGAUGAGACUUUAAGGAAAUGUUUCCAGUUAUAUAAUACUGUUGACAUUGCAAGUAUAAAUAGAACUUUUACAGAAAAAUCUGGCAGUAAGUAUUAUGAAAGAAAAACAUUUUGCCCAAAGAUACUUAUUGGAGUUCUAUUUGUUUUGGAAACUAUUAGAGAAUAUUGUGUCAGUAUGAUAGAAUAAUAUUCAUGAACAAGAAUUAUUUAUGUUUGCUAUUGAUUUAUAGACCUACAUUACAAAAUAAAGUCAAUUAAAGGGCAAAAUAAAAAUUGUGUGUAAAUGCUAUUUCUGAUUACAGAAAACUUUUGUGUGCUAAACUGGUAUAAGUGGCAAUUGGUUAAAAUUUAUAGUUUUUUUCUGUUUUAAAGUUGUAUAAAACAAAUUCUGAAGAAAAAAGACAAGUUUUGGAACAAGAGGCAGGAAGGAGUGUUGGGUUUUAGAUCUACUUUUGUACUUUAGCCAUGGUUUGUACAGCACUCAGCAUGCACGGGGCGUAUUGCUAAGGACUUGUAUGGAUUAUGUCACUUAAUCGCUAUUCUGCCUCUGUGGUCUGGUAUACUGGUAGUCUCAUUUUCAGCUGAGCAAAUAGAGGUUCAGAGAAGUUUGGUGACUUGCCCAAGAUUACACCAGUAGCAAGCAAGUAGGUUAGAAAAUUCUAGAACCUGCAUUCUUAUGCACUGUACUGUUGCUCUCUGCUGUCAUUAGUAAUUGUAUGCAUGCUCUGAGGGCUAUUCCUGUUGAAUAUGGGCACAGGACUCAAACAUGUAUGUGUUUCACAUGGUGCAGAACAUUUGUUGUUAUUCGCGUUAAGAAGUGUGAGAAAACAUGUAUUUGCUUAUAUACAGACAAAAACCUCUGGAAAGAUAAGCAAGAAACUGAUAACAUUGGUACUUCUUGAAAGAAAGGUGACUUUAAGAAGUUCUUCCCUUCUGAGCACCUUGUUUUCCUCAUUGCAAAGCAUAGAAAUUGUAUAGAUGACAUCCUAUCUUUAAAGUUUGGUACCAUAAAGUAGAUGAUUUCUGGGUCUUGUUUGAAAAGAUAAAUUUUGUGUUAUGACUGUAUUUUAUUUUUAGCAAUUAAAGAAUCCUUAUUAAUUUUUAAAGAUUUGUGAAUAUAGAUGAUCCAUAAUAACUUGUUUGCUUUAUAUAUUUUUUAGUUAAAUGGACUUUUUGUGGUAUUUAGGAGCAUUUACGAGCCUGUUACAUAUAGUAAAGUUUUAAUCAUACUAGUAAAGUGCUAUAUACAACCAGGUAGAUGUAUUCAACUACAUUUUACAUAACGGAACAGAAAUUUGAAUAUACUUAAUCUCUUUUUGGGCUACAGUGAGAAACUCGUUCUUUGUUAGGUGUACAGGUUACUCUACUGUUGGAGGCUGUCCUGUAAAUGAGCAUCACGUCAGGUCCAUACCAGCUAUCCUAAUCCUGAUCAGUACUUUACGUGGUUUAGUUUGUCUUGGAGCCAUCAGUGACUCCUGCUGUAGCCAGUGCAUGUGGUCAUUUGUUAGGUCAGUGAGCAUUUGAGUGCAUAUUAUUUGCAAGGCAGAAUAGUAGGUGUUAGAGAAUUGCUGAUGAAGAAAACUAGUCUCAGCCUUUGGAGAGAUUGUACUAGGGUAAGAAAUAAUCUGGCGAAUAUGAUACCAUAUGACAAAUGUUGUGAUUUAGCCCUGUGGGAACAGACAGAAUGGUCACCUAACUUAGCUGGGAUUUGGGAGUCUGGAGUCAAGAAAGGCCUUUUUAAAGGAGGAUGUACUUGAAGUCUGAAUGGUAAGAGAAUGAAUGAAUCUGUGUUAGCAAAGUGGCUGGGAGGGCCAUCCAGGCAGAUGGUGAGCGUCCUGUCAUUUAAGAAAACGACACCUCUAGUACCACUGGAGUAGGGGUUUGAGAAUGCUGGACAGGUAAGCAGGGGUCUGAUUGCAGAGAGGACAUAUGUAGUACUGGGACCUGGGUGUGUGUUUGUUCAUUCGUUUAAUAGCCAUGGAAGGUUUAUGCUGGGAAUGUCAUGAUCAGGGUUUUGCUUCAGUAAAACCCAGACUACUCUGGAAAAUGGGUUGGAAGAAGACGAGAGUGGAAGUAAACAGUCUGAUAAUUAAGCUGUUGCAGUAAGUAGUCCAAGUGUGACUUUAUGGAGGCCAAAGAUUAGGCUGGAGUAGGUGGGGAUUGAGAGAAAUAGGUGGACAUUUAGGAGGUUGGAUCAAGAGAGAUGCAGUGAUUGUGCUAAGGGAGAAGGAACAAUUAGGUAUGAUGCCCGGGUUUCUGGAUUGUUCAGAUUGGUUACAUGUCCAUGCUAUUCCCUCAGAUAGAAACUCAGAGAACAAUUAUUUAGGAGAGAAGGAUGGGUAGAGAAAAUAUGCCUGUCUUAUACUUUUUUUUCCUCAAGUUUUUAUUUUAAUCACUUAGUGCUCAUCACAAAUGCACACUCCUUAAUCCCCUUAAUCACCCACCUACCCCGCCCCCAUCCCCUCUGGUGACCAUUAGUUUGUUCUCUGUAAUUAAGAGUCUGUUUCUUAGUUUCUCUUUUUCCCCUUUGCUCAUUUGUUUUGUUUUUUAAGCAUCUUUUUAAAAAAAAAUUAUUUAUUUUGAGAGAGAGCAUGAGAGUGAGUGGGGGAGGGGCAGAGAGAGAGAGGGAGAGAGAAUCCCAAGCAGGCUCCAUGUUGUCAGUGCAGAGCCCUAUGUGGGGCUUGAUCCCACGAACUGUGAGAUCAUGACCUGAGCCAAAACCAAGAGUUGGACACUCAACCGACUGAGCUACCCAGGCAGUCCUGUUUCUUAAACAUCUUCUUUAUCCUUUGAUUAAUCGAUGGACACUUGGGCUGCUUCUGUAUCCUGGCUAUUGUAAAUAACACUGCUAUAAAUAUAGGAGUGCAUGUGUCCCUUUGAAUUAGUGUUUUUGUAUUCUUUGGGUAAAUACCCAGUAGUGUGAUUGCUGGGCCAUAGGGUAGUUCUAUUUUUAACUUUCUGAGGAACCUCCAUUCUGUUUUUCAGAGUGGCUGCACCAGUUUGCAUUCCCACCAACAAUGCAAGAGGGUUCCCCUUUCUCUGCAUCCUCGCCAACACCUAUUGUUUGUUGCGUUGUUGAUUUUAGCCAUUCUGACAGGUGUGAGGUAUAGUUUUGAUUUGCAUUUCUCUGACAGUGAGUGACGAUGAAUAUCUUUUCAUAUGUCUGUUGGCCAUCUGUAUGUCUUCUUUGGAGAAAUGUCUGUUCAUGUCUUCUGCCCAUUUUUAAAUUGGAUUAUUUGUUUUUGGGUGUUGAAUUUUAUGAGUUCUUUACAUAUUUUAGAUACCCUUUAUUGGAUAUGUCUUUUGUAAGUAUCUUCUCCCAAUUUGUAGGUUGCCAUUUAGUUUUUGUUGAUUGUUUCCUUUACUGUAUAGAAGCUUUUUAUUUUUUAAAUUUGUUUUAUUUUUUAAAGUUUUUAUUUUAAUUUCCAUUAGUUAACUUACAGUGUUAUAUUGGUUUCAGGUGUACGAUACAGUAAUUUAGCACUUCCACACAUCACCGUGUAGUCAUCACAACAAGUGCAGAAGCUUUUUAUUUUGAUGUAGCCUCAAUAGUUUAUUAUUGCUUUUGUUUUCCUUGCCUCAGGAGACAUAUCUAGAAAAAAGUUGCUCAGCUGAUGUCAGAGAAAUUACUGCCUGUGCUCUCUUCUAGGAUUUGUAUGGUUUCAGGUCUUACAUUUAGGUCUUUAAUCCAUUUUGAAUUUAUUUUUGUGUAUAGCAUAGGAAAGUGGUCCAGUUUCAUUCUUCCACAUGUUGCUAUCCAGUUUUCCCAACACCAUUUGUUGAAGAGACUUUUUCAUUGGAGAGUCUUUCAUUGGAUGGUCAAAGAUUAAUUAAUUGAUGAUAUAAUUGUGGGCUUAUUUCUGGAUUUUGUAUUCUGUUCCCUUGAUCUAUAUGUUUCUAUUUUUGUGCAAGUACCAUGCUGUUUGAUUACUACAGCUUUGUGAUAUAACUUGAAGUCUGGAAUUGUGAUGCCUCCAACUUAGUUUUUUUUUUUUUUUCCUCUUUAAGAUUGCUUUGGCUAUUCCAGGUCUUUUGUAGUUUCAUACAAAUUUUAGGAUUGUUUGUUCUAGUUCUGUGAAAAAUGCUGUUGGUAUUUUGAUAGAGAUUGCAUUAAAUGUGUAGAUUGCUUUGGGUAGUGUAGACAUUUUAACAGUGUCCUUCCAAUCUAUGAACAUGGAAUGUCUUUCCGUUUCUUUGCAUCAUCUUCAGUUUCUUUCAUCAGUGUUCUAUCGUUUUCAGAGUACAGGUCUUUCACCUCUUUGGUGAGGUUUAUUUCUGGGUAUCUUACCAUUUGGGGUACAGUAGUAAAUGGGAUUGUUUUCUUAAUUUCUUUUUCUGCUGUUUCAUUAUUGAUGUGUAGAAGUGCAACAGAUUUCUGUAGAGUAAUUUUGUAUCCUGCGACUUUACUGAAUUUGUUAAUCAGUUCUAGCAGUUUUUUGGUAGAGUUUUUCAGGUUUUCUGUAUAUAAUAUCAUGUCAGCUGCAAAUAGGGAAAGUUUGACUUCUUCCUUAUAGAUUUUUAUGCCUUUUAUUUCUUUUUGUUGUCUGAUUGCUGUGGCUAGGAUGUUCAGUGGUAUAUUGAAUAGAAGUGGUGAGAGUGGACAUCCUUGUCUUGUUCUUGACCUUAGGGGAGGGGCUCUCCAUUCUUCCUCAUUGAGGGUGAUGUUUGCUGUGGGUUUUUCAUAUAUGGUCUUUAUUAUGUUGAAGUCUGUUCCCUUUAAACCUAUUUUGUUGAUGGUUUUUAUCGUGAAUGGAUGUUGUACUUUGUCAAAUGCUUUUUCUGCAUCUGUUGAAAAUGAUCAUAUGGUUUGACACUCUUAUUCUUUUUUUUUUUUUUUUAAAGUUUACUUAUUUUUGAGAGCGACAGAGACAACAUGAGUGGGGUGGCAGAGAGAGAGGGAGAGUGAGAGAGAAUCCCAAGCAGGCUCUGUGCUGACCUGAGCUGAAACCAAGAGUUGGAUGUUUAACCCACUCAGCCAGCCAAGCGCCCCCGACUCCCUUAUUUUUAUAAAAAUAUCCUGGAGCGCCUGGGUGGCUCAGUUGGUUAAGUGUAUGACUUCGGCUCAGGUCAUGAUCUCAUGGUUAGUGAAUUUGAGCCCUGUGCUGACAGCUCAGACCCUGGAGCCUUCUUUGGAUUCUGUGUCUCCCUCUCUCUCUGCCCCUUCCCUGCUCAUGCUCUGUUUCUCUCUCAAAAAUAAAAAAUAAACAUUAAAAAAAAUGUUUUAAAAAUUUUCCUGAUUCUCAGCAACUCAUUUUAUUUAAUAAUUUGUGAUCUAUAAAUUCUUCCUUCUUAUCAACUUCAAGAUACAGUAAAUGCACUUUAAACUCAUUUGUUUUUGGACUUCGGUGUUUUAUCUUUUCCUUAUUUAUCUUUGCUAUCAAUGCUUUGGGUUUAAGUGAAAAAUCUUUAGAUCAAGGCAGUGUUCCAUGUGAUCCAAAUACAGUGAAGGUAAUGAUCAGUUUAAAUGUUUAUUUCAUAUUUCGGUAUUUUUUAUUUUGAUGAAAUUGGCAACUCACAUUUUGUUUUUGGUGAGCAGCCAUAUUAUUAGAUAAAUAUCAGUGCCAAUUGCAAUUUAAUUUUUAAUUUAAGUACAAAGCUUUGGUGUGAUUUUUAAUAAAUAAACUCUUCAUUGGUAGUUUAUGUUACUUGAAAACAAACUAACAUAAAUCUACCAAAUGCAUCAAUAUAACUUUAGGCAUUGUUUUUUCCAUCUUUAAUCUUUUAGUACAGAAAGAAUGAUUGUGGUGCUUCAAGUUAACUAAAUCAGAAAUAACCAAAGUUAAAAAAAAAAUACUAAGUAUUAUGAACUAGGAAGAAAAGGGAGCAGUACUUUUAAAGGCAUGAAAUAAAUUUGGUUAUAAUUUAAUAUAAAGAUAGCAAUGUGUGCUAUAGCUUGCUACAGUUGCUCUUUUUCUUUGAAUCAGAAAUAAUGCUAUAAAUGGGUAAUAGUAUAAAUAUGCCAUAAUUCAUCAGAUAUAAGGAGCUAUCAAUUGUAAGACAUGUUAUUAUUUUAUGCUGUAUUAAAAGAAUAAAUGCUGCUGGUUAAUAAUGCCUUCUUAUAACUUAAUAUUUUUAUUUUGUGCUUAUAGAAAGAGCUAUUUGAGACUUAGACACAAGCUUUUAUUAUCACACUGCUCUGCUCAUUGCCUUUCUGUUAUACAUUAACUUCAUGAAGACUUUGGCAGUUAAAACCUGUAUGUAUAGUACCAACGGUGUUAAUACCUGGAGUCAAGCGUGCUAGACCAUUUUUGUGCAUAUGCAGUCAUGUUGAUGGGCUGAUGGUAAGACUCAUUCCACUGAGAGAAAUCAAAGUAUGCUUUAUCACCUUGCUUUAGAUGUGAGGCAGAAAGGGAAGAGGGAAGGAUGAGGCUUAAAAGAUAGCAGCAGUAAAAUGGAGUUGGACUCCUAAUUACAUCAAGGAAAGAGGAAUCUAACAUCCUAAAUAAUAAGAGGAGCCAUUUAAAAAAAAAUUUUUUUUUAACGUUUCAUUUAUUUUUGAGACAGGGAGAGACAGAGCAUGAACAGGGGAGGGUCAGAGAGAGGGAGACACAGAAUCUGAAACAGGCUCCAGGCUCUGAGCUGUCAGCACAGAGCCCGACGCAGGGCUCAAACUCACGGAGCGCGAGACCAUGACCUGAGCCGAAGUCGGCCGCUUAACCGAUGGAGCCGCCCAGGCGCCCCAAGAGGAGCCAUUUUUGAACAGCAUGGGAUGGUGACAGUGACAGUGGCAGUGGGUUGGGAAUGGGAUGUGGAAUUCUUCUUAGCGAAACGCUGUUAAGAUGUCUUGCUGGAGAUGUAAGGUGGGCAGUUGCAUGUUUGGCGUCAGUGUACAUGUAAGAGGGAGCGGUUAAGAAUGUAGGCUCUGGAAGUGACUUUGAGCCAUAGUUUCCUCCUGUGUAAAAUGGCGAUAAUCCAAAAUGCCCUUUAGGGCUUUUGGUUUAGCUUUAGAAUAUUGCCUGAAACCUAGAGAGGACUCAGUAAAUGUUUUCUGCUCUCAUGAUUGAUCUUCAUCAUCACCAUCAUCCAAAACAUGGGCUUUGGAGAUACAGACCUUAGUUGGAAAGUAAGCAAGACUUCUGGCAAGUUACAUAAUCAUUCAAUUUCUUUAUCUAAAGUUGGGGUAGUAAAAUCUAGCUCAUGGGUAAUAGUAUAAAUGAAAAAAGAAAGAUAGGCAUGCAGUGUAGGCAUUAAGGCAUAUGUCCUGUUUUUUAGCAGUUUAUACUUUAGUUGGAGGAAAUAAGCACUAAAUAUGUAAAAAAUUAAUAGCACAGAGAUAUUUAUAAGAAGUGACAUAAAGGUUGGAUAAAACGAUAAGAUUAAGAAUUAGGAACACGACUAGAAGUUGGGAGUCCCACCUCACUUUUUCUCCUGAUUAGCUGUGUGAUGUUGGGCAAGUUAUCAUUAUCCUGUCAAUACUGUGAGACUCAGUAUUUUCAUUUACAAAGUGUGAGUUGAUUGGGCAAGAUGAUUUCUUAGGUUACUUCCUUGUUAAGGGUUUCUUACGUGAUUUCGGCAUUUAGAGAGAAGCGAUUACUACCAUAGUAUGGAACAGUUAGGGAGGCUAGGAGGAGAUGGGACGUGAAAAGGGUGUUGGUUUGAUGAAAAUUGUAUCAGGGAACAAGAGAGUUUUGGAAUCUUGAAGAUACCUUUUUUCUUGUGUUAUAAUUGUGAGAAAUUAGCCUAUCCUCACAUUUCCAUGUUUCAUUUCUGGUAGGUUUUAUUUAUGAAUUUCACAAAUAUUUGAAUUUAUAUUUUGUCAGGUUCAUUGAACGUUCUUGCUCGUUUUCCUUGUACGUGCUGCGUCCCUCUAGGGCAGCAGUUCUUAGGAUGGCUCUCAAGAUCCCAUUAUACUAGUCAAUAUGGAGGCCUCCAGAGACCUUUUGUUUAGCAAUAUUUACGGGAUUAGAAGUUAAUUUUAGAAAUUAAAAAAUACUUAUUAAUUUAAAAGUAACAAACCCAUUAUGUUAAUAUAGAUUUUUUUGCACACAACCUAACUAUAUUUUCAAAAACAAAAAGUUUAAUGAGAUAAGUUUUACAUUUUUACAAAUCUCUUUAAUAUGUGGCUUACUUGAAGACCAUCAGAUUCCCAGAUCUGAUUUAUAUUUUGGUUGAAGUACUAUUGAAGAAAAUGUGGUUUAUACAUAUAAACAGUUGGAAAAGGAAGAAUGUUUUAACAUCUUUUUAUAUAAUUGUGGAUACUCUUUGAUGUUACACCAAAACUCCAGUAGUUGUUAUUGGUUAGUUGCAAUGUGGACUCUGAAAUCCUGCCAGUGAACUUGUAGUAAGUACUCUGUCAUAAUGAAAUCCAUUAGUUUAGCCUGCACUUUGAAUGAGUACUUUGUCUUUUAUCCAUAUGUGUUUUGGCCCCACAGACCCCCGAAAGAGUAUUAAGGAUUCCCAAGGGUCCCUGGAUCAUACACUGAGAAUCACUACUAUAGGAUAUAUACCUAAGAGGAUAAUUGCUAAUUUGAAAGUUAUGGGCAUUUUAAACCUGGCCAGUUUGGCACUGUCUCGUUAAGUGGUUAUUCCAAUUUAUAUUCCCACCAGCAGUUUAGGGGGGUUCUAUGAGCCCCAUAACUUCAAUACCACUUGGUAUCAGUAGUAUUUUUGCUGGCUAGGUUGGUAUAAGAAAUGCAACUUUACAUCUUUUGUGUCUGUUUCUCUUAGAUUCUAUUUAUCCAACUGUUUCUUUUGUGUCAGUGAAGAUAGUCCUUAAGAAUAUCUUUUUCUCUUAGUCAUUACUUCAGGAAUUUCAACAUCCAUGCUUACUAAGGUUUACAGGUAAUCAAUAUCUUUAGCUUCCUCCAGAAAAUUACAGGGGCCUUAGAAUACUUUAACUCAAUCACCUACUCCCUGGCUUGGAUAUAAUUAUUUUUCAAAAAUUGGGGCUUUUUAUUGACAUUCAAAUUAGUAUUACUUUUGUAUAGAUCCCUUAAAGACUUAGGAAAGAAUUGGUGAAGGCAAAUUCUAGGAGUUGCUAGAGAAUAUUGCAAUAUACCUCAAAUAUUACAUAUUUUUCCAUGUUAUCAAAUAGUGACAAAUUAAAAAUGUAAACUUGUGCUACUUACCUCUUAAAACCAUAAUUAAAUUUAAUAGAAUUGGAAGAUUAAUUUCUUGAGCAACAGGCAGUUUGGUGAAUAUAUUUUAUGCUAAAGUCUAAUUUUAUUUUGACCUUGAGUCAAAUUAAGGUUUUAUUAUUCUGGGGCUUUAAUUGUAAAGGCAUCCAGUUCAAGUUGGCUGGUAUGGAAUGCAAUGAUAAAUAAAUUGAAUGGCCUUUUAAAGUGUGUAUUAUGUCUUGCAUCCUGUCCUCAUUAUGAAUUUAUAUAUUAUAGAAAGUUCAAAAAAGGAGCUUGGAAUUUUUAUUAGCAUUUUUUGGAAUACUCGCUAUGUGGUGGUCCUUUUGAUUUCUCAAUGACUGCUCCUCAGGGUGUAAGCAUUAUUAUUCCCCUUUUAUUGGUGAAGAAAAUGCAAAUAAUAUACAGAUAGUAAGUGAUAAAGCCAAGGUUUGGGCUGAGGGUUUGUUUUUUUCCCCAUUUAGAUUUUAUUUUAAAACAUUAAUGGUAGAAAAUCUGUUUGGAAA